AUGAACGCUGGCGGCGUGCCUAAUACAUGCUAGUCGAGCGAACAGACGAGGAGCUUGCUCCUCUGACGUUAGCGGCGGACGGGUGAGUAACACGUGGAUAACCUACCUAUAAGACUGGGAUAACUUCGGGAAACCGGAGCUAAUACCGGAUAAUAUAUUGAACCGCAUGGUUCAAUAGUGAAAGACGGUUUUGCUGUCACUUAUAGAUGGAUCCGCGCCGCAUUAGCUAGUUGGUAAGGUAACGGCUUACCAAGGCGACGAUGCGUAGCCGACCUGAGAGGGUGAUCGGCCACACUGGAACUGAGACACGGUCCAGACUCCUACGGGAGGCAGCAGUAGGGAAUCUUCCGCAAUGGGCGAAAGCCUGACGGAGCAACGCCGCGUGAGUGAUGAAGGUCUUCGGAUCGUAAAACUCUGUUAUUAGGGAAGAACAAAUGUGUAAGUAACUAUGCACGUCUUGACGGUACCUAAUCAGAAAGCCACGGCUAACUACGUG
RNAcentral lists this ribosomal RNA (496 nucleotides) under uncultured bacterium. RNAcentral's name for it is "partial 16S ribosomal RNA". It matches the Rfam family "Bacterial small subunit ribosomal RNA", at positions 29 to 507 of the family's 1533-position model. The record is from RNAcentral.